Long non-coding RNA from Betta splendens (Siamese fighting fish), 3773 nucleotides. RefSeq lists it as uncharacterized. The transcript has 4 exons. NCBI's taxonomy places the organism in Eukaryota, Metazoa, Chordata, Actinopteri, Anabantiformes, Osphronemidae. The record is from RefSeq and is a predicted model, not a curated record.
AAAUAUAGAAUGAUUUACAGACUAAAAUCAGUGCUUUACUGAACAAAUUGACACAAAAAGCAAUUCAUCAUUUUGAGUUUAAAAUUAGAAUCAGAUGUUUUUAAACACACAAGUGUGUGCUGCAUCCAUACAGUUAUUACAGAUGAACUGUGCAGCUGUAUAACUGUGUUAUUACAGGUAAAAUGUGCAGCUGUAGCAGCACAGGAACGGAGGGCUCUUCAUCAGCAAUAUAACACAGGGCUUCUGCAGGCAGAGCGAUCCGUGGUGAGGAAGAGGAUGGCUGUGGUAGUGUUCAAUCAGCACCGACAGAGAGGGGAAGGUCACUUCACUGUCCAGAAAAAGGCAGUCAUUCUGUCCAGACAGAAGAUGCUUUAAUGACACAAUCACUGAGUAUUUUCCUUCAUGUAUUCAGCAGCAGAUGCUUCUUACCUCUUCAAACAGCCGGUAGUUUCUGGCUUUGUCUAUGCUGACGUCCCACACGACCAGCACCUGGAUGACGUGUAUCAACACAUGUUCUUUAGUUUGCUGGAAUUUUACCCUUUUCUCUAAUAGCAAACUAAAUCAUGAAAUCACUUUUUGAGCGGCUUAAGGUUUUACCUUGGAGGUUUUGGUCCCAGAGUUUCUGAUGCCGUACAGUCCGUCCUCCGGGGGAAAACCGUUGUCUUUGAACAACCUACAGGUUCAAACAUCACCACUGGUUACGGGUUUACAAUGGAACAGAUCAGCAGAUAGAGCAGCUCUGUGUCUGAGGAAGGAGAAGUGUGUGCAACGCUUGGUGGAUUUAAAACGUAUGCACAGUGACCGUCUCUACGCGCCUAAUUUUUGUGGUAUUUGAAUUCACCUGGGAAUGUGCGACUCUUUUCUGCCGUUAUAGUGAUCAAUCUCCCUCCGCAGGUAGCGCAUCCACUUCUGUAACACAACAGAAAGAAGUUACAAGUUACACCGUGGGAUUCAUGUAUUUUCUGUAAUCCAAACCCAAAUGAAAUCAACCUAUACAUGCGAGUGUUGAGCCAUUCUCACCUUUCUCUCCUUCUCACUGGCUGCAGAGAAGAACCACGUCCUGUGCUUCUUGCUGAAGUGAACGAUCUUAAAAGGGAAGACAUUACUGGACGUCGUCUCCUCUGCAGCUCUCAUCACUCUGUGAAGGAGGACAAGCGUAAGAGGCCGACAUGUGUUUGGCACGAGUUACAGUUUAGACCUCUCAUCCACUGACCUGUUGUAGCCACUGAGAGAGAAGGCCCCCUGCGGUGAAGGAGACGUACUGCUCUUAAAGUAGUACACACAUCCCUUGUGAAUGAUGAUGUACCUCAGUGGCCCUGAAAGAAAAGCAGCAGCUGACACAUCGAUCCGAUUGAACCUGACGCUGCUGUACAUUAUGCCAACACGUUUCAUGCGGACUCACAUUUCAUGAGGCUGAACUGGCUGCCUCCUUUCUUGUGGAGGUAACCUGAAGAGGAAACUCCCCCCGGCAUGGUGAGGAGGUUCUGAGCUCCGAUGGCUCGCAUCGGCACCGGCCAGCACGCCUCGGUGGACGACAUGGUUCUGGAGGAGAGCACGGGGAUGUGAAUAUACUGGUGGUGAUUAGGAGGGGGAGAACAACACAACAACACAUUUUAUAGUUGCAAAAUAAUCGGAAAAGAGACGGCAAAGACCAAAAAGAACAUGGAAGUAAAUUCCCUCAUUCACUAACUACAACUUUGCUCACAUCAAUUCAAACAACAACUGAUCUAAUUCAUCACAAGACAUGUGACCCCUGAAAUGUACUGUACUAACGAUACAUUCACUGCCACAGAUAAAGUAACGCUGUUUUUUUCUCACAACUACAGCACAUGUAAGAGUCGAUCUCCUUCUCUGGCCGUUCUUGAGGUUCUGCCUACUGUACCUCCUGCUGAGCUGGUUGCUGCUGCUGCUGCUUCCCCUCAGCAGGCUCAGUGUGGAGCCCAGCACCGUGGACGCCAACGUCGGCACCAGAUCCAUUCAAAGUUGAACGCCCAGCACGGCUGAGCAGACUGAACGUCCCGGGCCUCUGGCUUUCUCUCUGCCUCUGUUGAUUUCUAUCUGUCUCACUCUCCCUCGCCCAUAAACACUCAAAGUGAGCUUGUGCACUUGUGUGUUCGCAGAUGUCAACGGAAUACAUACAAACAAACACGCAAUCAGUUCAGACAGGAAACAGAUAAGCUAAGAUGAUUCAGCUGGAGUUCAUGGUUUUAUGUAAUAGGUGUGUGUGUGUGUGUGUGUGUGUGUGUGUGUGUGUGUGUGUGUGUGUGUGUGUGUGUGUGUGUGUGUGUGUGUGUGUGUGUGUGUGUAAACAUCCCAAAUGUCCUCCCGUGGAACUUCUAGCUUAUCUGUAGCAUCUACUGGUCCCAGAGAAGCUUCAGUGUGUGUAGAAGUCUUUUUAUGUUUGCCUAAAUGGAAUGUGGUCAAAAUGGUCACAGAGGACAUUUUGUGCGACUUUGUGCUCAAGGAGAUUUUAAGAGUUUAGGCCGGACUUUAGGUUUGGGUUACACUCUUUGUUUUCACAAAACAGUAAAAGUCCAGAAAAGAACUUUGAAUCACAGUUCUAAAAACAGGCUAACUGUUUAGACCUCUGAUCCUUUGUACUGUAGGCCAUGUCAGGCCAGCUUUUAUUUAAAGUGUGUUGAACUCUCUCCUAAACAUCAGUGACAGAAAUACUCCCUUAAAAACUAAUUUGGCCUGUGCCCGGUCUGAAUGGUCUGUCUUUGCUUUUGUCAGCUACAGUAAGCAGAGGCCAAACUAGAAAAGGCAUUUCUAAGGAAAGUAAACGGUGAAUGCUUUAAUGCUCAAUUUAACAAUUUACAUCUAAAACACAGCUGAAAGUGUAGAAGCAGAGCAGAAAAAGCAGAUGCAGAUAAACUGCUCCCUAAAGCUCAUCCGUGUCUGAGUGAGACUGCUCCUUUACCGAUUUCUGUCGUGUUCGUCAAUACGACAGAUUUCCUGCAGUCGUCACACACAUACAACUAAAACACAUGACGUAACUUUGCUUUUUCAGGUUUUGUAGAGGACGCGACCAUCUGGAUCCAGAACAGACACAGAAGGAAUCAUUUACACACCAACAAUGCUGCUACUUUCUCAGCUGCGUCAUUUGAAGUCAGUCUCUGUUUCACUCGACAUUUCAGCUUCUUUCAUCUUUCACUCAAAAAAAAUAAAUGUGAAAUUAAAAAGAUUUAACUUGCAGUACUGAGCAAUGCUUUAAUAUAAUCAACACACAGCAACAGGCAGGACAAAUGUUCAGCUUGAUACUGUCUACAGCUCUGACUUAUUCAUCAUUAUUUGUCAUUGUUUAGUAUCCACAAAGAAUCCAAUGCAGCAACUGGGCUAAAACAUAUUCAGCCAAUGAUGAGAUCCAAGCAAGAACCGCUGCACCGGACUUACAGGAAGAAACAGAAGACAGCAGAGUAAGAAAACAGAAAGUGAAAGUGCUUGAGCUGUUGGACGGAAAACCCCAAACAGAUCACAUUCAGAGCCGUUUUCCUGGUAAAUGUCAUCAUUGCCACCAUGACAUAGACAGGGGAAUACAGCUUUGAUCCUUAGCUCAUCAGUGAAGUCUUGCUUCAGACACAGUUCUUGAUGACACAAGUGUAAAAUGUCAUAAUAUUCGAGUCUGAGCCUCUAUCUCAGGUCUGUGAGCCACAACUGUUAGCAAACACUUCAUACUUGUUCUGAGAGGCCUUAGUCACAAAAAAAGGUUUGACCUCCACAUGGAUGUGAAAACACUAAAAUGACAGAUAAUAAUAAACACUUCCACAUCCUGA